Molecule: unclassified non-coding RNA, 392 nt
Filed under: soil metagenome
Description: partial contains 5.8S ribosomal RNA, internal transcribed spacer 2, and large subunit ribosomal RNA
Rfam family: 5.8S ribosomal RNA (bases 1-120)
Source: RNAcentral
GAUGAAGAACGUAGCGAAAUGCGAUAAGUAAUGUGAAUUGCAGAAUUCAGUGAAUCAUCGAAUCUUUGAACGCAUCUUGCGCUCCUUGGUAUUCCGAGGAGCAUGCCUGUUUGAGUGUCAUUUAACUUCUCAACCACAUUGGAUAUUUUUUUUCCGAUGCCGGCUUGGAUGUGGGGGUUGUUUGCAGGCUUUUUGUAACAAAAAAGGUCGGCUCCCCUGAAAUGUAUUAGUGGUAUCUGAGGCUAUUACUAUUAGGUGUGAUAAUUAUCUAUGCCUUUUGGGUAUGCAGCAUGAACAGAUUAUGCUGCUUCUAACGAAAACUAUUUUGAUGAAUUUGACCUCAAAUCAGGUAGGACUACCCGCUGAACUUAAGCAUAUCAAUAAGCGGAGGA